RNAcentral lists this ribosomal RNA (253 nucleotides) under uncultured bacterium. Its description in RNAcentral is "partial 16S ribosomal RNA". It matches the Rfam family "Bacterial small subunit ribosomal RNA", at positions 524 to 776 of the family's 1533-position model. The record is from RNAcentral.
UACGUAGGGGGCAAGCGUUGUCCGGAUUUAUUGGGCGUAAAGAGCGUGUAGGCGGCCAAGCAGGUCCGCUGUGAAAACUCGAGGCUCAACCUCGAGACGUCGGUGGAAACCGUUUGGCUAGAGUCCGGAAGAGGAGAGUGGAAUUCCCGGUGUAGCGGUGAAAUGCGCAGAUAUCGGGAAGAACACCCGCGGCGAAGGCGGCUCUCUGGGACGGUACUGACGCUGAGACGCGAAAGCGUGGGGAGCGAACAGG